This 468-nucleotide ribosomal RNA is filed under the name uncultured bacterium. RNAcentral's name for it is "partial 16S ribosomal RNA". It matches the Rfam family "Bacterial small subunit ribosomal RNA", at positions 28 to 507 of the family's 1533-position model. The record is from RNAcentral.
GACGAACGCUGGCGGCGUGCUUAACACAUGCAAGUCGAACGGAAAGGCCCUGCUUUUGUGGGGUGCUCGAGUGGCGAACGGGUGAGUAACACGUGAGUAACCUGCCCUUUACUUUGGGAUAACUUCAGGAAACUGGGGCUAAUACCGGAUAGGAGCUCCUGCUGCAUGGUGGGGGUUGGAAAGUUUCGGCGGUUGGGGAUGGACUCGCGGCUUAUCAGCUUGUUGGUGGGGUAGUGGCUUACCAAGGCUUUGACGGGUAGCCGGUCUGAGAGUGUGAGCGGCCAUAGUGGGAGUGAGAUGCGGCCCAGACUCAUACGGGAGGGAGCAGUGGGGAAUAUUGCACAAUGGGCGAAAGCGUGAUGCAGCAGCGGCGUGUGGGGGAUGGCGGCCCUCGGUGUGUACACCUUUUUCGCGUGUGACGGAGCGUGAGUGACGGUAAUGGGUGAAGAAGCACCGGCUAACUACGUG